This is a long non-coding RNA of Peromyscus leucopus (white-footed mouse), 286 nucleotides long. RefSeq lists it as uncharacterized. The transcript has 3 exons. The record is from RefSeq and is a predicted model, not a curated record. Lineage: Eukaryota; Metazoa; Chordata; Mammalia; Rodentia; Cricetidae.
ACUAUUAGGAGGUAUGUCCUUGUUGGAGUAGCUGUGGUCUUAUUGGAGGAAGUGUGUCCCAGAGGUGGGCUUUGGGCUAUUGAAUGAUCAAGUGUACAGAGUACAUUCAAGACCAUGAACACCAGUCAGUAGAUGUGAAGGCUCUAGGUUUUGGCCCCACAGCGCCACCUGUUGGCCACCCUGUUUCUGGAGGAGGCUGAUGGGCCACCAACACAGCAGAGGGGAAACAUGUAUCAGAGAAGCCCAGCAGACAGGGCCAUACCAACACAGCCCCUAGGGUCACAGU